AUAAAGAUGAUAUUGGAAAAGUUCGUGCUCUCACAUAUGUUACAAAGAGUCUUCCAUGCUUCUGCUGGUUCUUUGCAAGAGAUGAUGUGAGAAAAGUUGGCUUCAUCCAAAUUAGUGGCAAUCAUGCCAAAAGCCUUCUUUUCUCGUCUUGUAAAGUCCUUCCUCUCUUUAGCAUCAGCAUGCAUGCUUGAAGGCUCUUCACUUUCAUCUACAAUGUCCCAAAGGUCCAAAGAUGCCAACAAAAGCUCCAUUUUGACCUUCCAAUGGUAGAAAUUGUCACCUCUAAACUUCUCAAUCACUCUCAAACCUUCACCUUCACUUGAAGCCAUGUCUUAGAAGAGGUCUAUCAAAAAAUAUCAAGAAAAAAGAGUCUCUAUGUGCUUAAAAUCACUAAAACAAUUUUGUACUAGCAAAAUCUCAGAAUGCCCUCUUGCGAACAAAUGAAUGUUUCUUC
This 454-nucleotide long non-coding RNA is filed under the name Physcomitrium patens. RNAcentral describes it as "long non-coding RNA (PPAT_LNC009547)". Lineage: Eukaryota; Viridiplantae; Streptophyta; Bryopsida; Funariales; Funariaceae. The record is from RNAcentral.